This 426-nucleotide ribosomal RNA is filed under the name uncultured bacterium. RNAcentral describes it as "partial 16S ribosomal RNA". It matches the Rfam family "Bacterial small subunit ribosomal RNA", at positions 354 to 796 of the family's 1533-position model. The record is from RNAcentral.
GUGAGGAAUUUUCCGCAAUGGGCGAAAGCCUGACGGAGCAAUGCCGCGUGAAGGAUGAAGGCCUAUGGGUUGUAAACUUCUUUUCUUAGAGUAGAAUAUUGACGGUAUCUGAGGAAUAAGCAUCGGCUAACUCUGUGCCAGCAGCCGCGGUAAGACAGAGGAUGCAAGCGUUAUCCGGAAUGAUUGGGCGUAAAGCGUCUGUAGGUGGCUUCAAAAGUCUCCUGUCAAAGAUCAGGGCUUAACCCUGGGCCGGCAGGAGAAACUCUGAGGCUAGAGUUUGGUAGGGGCAGAGGGAAUUCCCGGUGGAGCGGUGAAAUGCGUAGAGAUCGGGAGGAACACCAAAGGCGAAAGCACUCUGCUGGGCCACAACUGACACUGAGAGACGAAAGCGAGGGGAGCAAAAGGGAUUAGAAACCCCUGUAGUCC